RNAcentral lists this ribosomal RNA (1540 nucleotides) under uncultured bacterium. RNAcentral describes it as "bacterial SSU rRNA". It matches the Rfam family "Bacterial small subunit ribosomal RNA". The record is from RNAcentral.
GAGAGUUUGAUCAUGGCUCAGGACGAACGCUGGCGGCGUGCUUAACACAUGCAAGUCGAACGGAAAGGCCCCCACCUUGGUGGGGGUGCUCGAGUGGCGAACGGGUGAGUAACACGUGGGUGAUCUGCCCCGCACUUCGGGAUAAGCUUGGGAAACUGGGUCUAAUACCGGAUAGGACCAUGGUUUAGUGUCUCAUGGUGGAAAAAUAUUGUUUUGGUGCAGGAUGAGCUCGCGGCCUAUCAGCUUGUUGGUGGGGUAAUGGCCUACCAAGGCGUCGACGGGUAGCCGGCCUGAGAGGGUGGACGGCCACAUUGGGACUGAGAUACGGCCCAGACUCCUACGGGAGGCAGCAGUGGGGAAUAUUGCACAAUGGGCGCAAGCCUGAUGCAGCGACGCCGCGUGGGGGAUGACGGCCUUCGGGUUGUAAACUCCUUUCGUUAGGGACGAAGCCACGCCUUUUUUUGGGUGUGGUGACGGUACCUUUGUUAAGAAGCACCGGCUAACUACGUGCCAGCAGCCGCGGUAAUACGUAGGGUGCGAGCGUUGUCCGGAAUUACUGGGCGUAAAGAGCUCGUAGGUGGUUUGUUGCGUCGUCUGUGAAAUUCCGGGGCUUAACUUCGGGGUGGCAGGCGAUACGGGCAUAACUAGAGUGCUGUAGGGGAGACUGGAAUUCCUGGUGUAGCGGUGGAAUGCGCAGAUAUCAGGAGGAACACCGAUGGCGAAGGCAGGUCUCUGGGCAGUAACUGACGCUGAGGAGCGAAAGCAUGGGGAGCGAACAGGAUUAGAUACCCUGGUAGUCCAUGCUGUAAACGGUGGGCGUUAGGUGUGGGGACCGGUUUGGUUUCUGUGCCGUAGCUAACGCAUUAAGCGCCCCGCCUGGGGAGUACGGCCGCAAGGCUAAAACUCAAAGGAAUUGACGGGGGCCCGCACAAGCGGCGGAGCAUGUGGAUUAAUUCGAUGCAACGCGAAGAACCUUACCUGGGUUUGACAUGCACCAGACGGUUGUAGAGAUACGUACCUCCCUUUGUGGUUGGUGUGCAGGUGGUGCAUGGUUGUCGUCAGCUCGUGUCGUGAGAUGUUGGGUUAAGUCCCGCAACGAGCGCAACCCUUGUCUUAUGUUGCCAGCACGUUUAGGGUGGGGACUCAUGAGAGACUGCCGGGGUUAACUCGGAGGAAGGUGGGGAUGACGUCAAAUCAUCAUGCCCUUUAUGCCCAGGGCUUCACACAUGCUACAAUGGUUAGUACAACGCGCUGCGAGCCUGUGAGGGUGAGCGAAUCGCUGAAAGCUAAUCUCAGUUCGGAUUGGGGUCUGCAACUCGACCCCAUGAAGUCGGAGUCGCUAGUAAUCGCAGAUCAGCAAUGCUGCGGUGAAUACGUUCCCGGGCCUUGUACACACCGCCCGUCACGUCAUGAAAGUUGGUAACACCCGAAGCCCAUGGCCUAACCACCAUUUUGGUGGGGGGAGUGGUCGAAGGUGGGAUUGGCGAUUGGGACGAAGUCGUAACAAGGUAGCCGUACCGGAAGGUGCGGCUGGAACCCU